This 130-nucleotide small nuclear RNA is filed under the name Chinchilla lanigera (long-tailed chinchilla). RNAcentral describes it as "U4 spliceosomal RNA (ENSCLAG00000020390.1)". It matches the Rfam family "U4 spliceosomal RNA". Rfam says of the family: U4 small nuclear RNA (U4 snRNA) is a component of the major U2-dependent spliceosome. The structure of U4 snRNA from yeast and human has been reported. The record is from Rfam by way of RNAcentral. Lineage: Eukaryota; Metazoa; Chordata; Mammalia; Rodentia; Chinchillidae.
AGCUUUGCGCAGUGGCAUAAUCGUAGCCAAUGAGGUUUAUCCGAGAAGCGAUUAUAGCUAAUUGAAAAAGAUGAAAAUAAUUUUAAGUUAUUACACAAAAAGGUGACUUAAAAAGUCAGUCUUAAGAGGU